UAUGCCACGCUUCUAGGCAAAGUCUUUGACCAUAGCGAUUGUAGGCAAAGUCUUCUAGGCAAAGUCUUCUAGGCAAAGUCUUUGAUCAAAGACUUUGCCUAGAAGCGUGGCAUAUAAAUAUG
Paramuricea clavata is the source of this 122-nucleotide non-coding RNA. Lineage: Eukaryota; Metazoa; Cnidaria; Anthozoa; Malacalcyonacea; Plexauridae. The record is from the annotation of a GenBank genome assembly.